This 433-nucleotide ribosomal RNA is filed under the name Tychobythinus sp. JP-2014. RNAcentral's name for it is "partial 16S ribosomal RNA". Lineage: Eukaryota; Metazoa; Arthropoda; Insecta; Coleoptera; Staphylinidae. The record is from RNAcentral.
GUCUUUAAGAUUAUAUUUUAAAGUCUAAUCUGCCCAAUGAAAAUUUUAAUGGCCGCAGUAUUUUGACUGUGCUAAGGUAGCAUAAUAAUUAGUUUUUUAAUUGAAAGCUGGAAUGAAGGAUUGAACGAGAAAUUAACUGUCUUAAUUUAAGAUAAUUAGAAUUUUAUUUUUAAGUUAAAAUGCUUAAAUUUAUUUAAAAGACGAGAAGACCCUAUAGAGUUUAAUAUUCUAUUAAAGUUAUAAUUUUUAGAUAUAUUUUUUUAUAAAAGUAAUAGGAUAUUUUAUUGGGGCGAUAAGAAAAUUUAAGUAACUUUUUUUUAAGUAAAACAAUUAUAUUUGGGUAUUUGAUCCUUAAAUUAAGAUUAUAAGAUAAAAUUACCUUAGGGAUAACAGCGUAAUUAUUUUUAAGAGUUCUAAUCGAUAAAAUAGUUUG